This 457-nucleotide ribosomal RNA is filed under the name Escherichia coli. Its description in RNAcentral is "bacterial SSU rRNA". It matches the Rfam family "Bacterial small subunit ribosomal RNA", at positions 165 to 617 of the family's 1533-position model. The record is from RNAcentral. Lineage: Bacteria; Pseudomonadati; Pseudomonadota; Gammaproteobacteria; Enterobacterales; Enterobacteriaceae.
AAUACCGCAUAACGUCGCAAGACCAAAGAGGGGGACCUUCGGGCCUCUUGCCAUCGGAUGUGCCCAGAUGGGAUUAGCUAGUAGGUGGGGUAACGGCUCACCUAGGCGACGAUCCCUAGCUGGUCUGAGAGGAUGACCAGCCACACUGGAACUGAGACACGGUCCAGACUCCUACGGGAGGCAGCAGUGGGGAAUAUUGCACAAUGGGCGCAAGCCUGAUGCAGCCAUGCCGCGUGUAUGAAGAAGGCCUUCGGGUUGUAAAGUACUUUCAGCGGGGAGGAAGGGAGUAAAGUUAAUACCUUUGCUCAUUGACGUUACCCGCAGAAGAAGCACCGGCUAACUCCGUGCCAGCAGCCGCGGUAAUACGGAGGGUGCAAGCGUUAAUCGGAAUUACUGGGCGUAAAGCGCACGCAGGCGGUUUGUUAAGUCAGAUGUGAAAUCCCCGGGCUCAACCUGG